GAUGAACGCUGGCGGCGUGCCUAAUACAUGCAAGUCGAGCGAACGGACGAGAAGCUUGCUUCUCUGAUGUUAGCGGCGGACGGGUGAGUAACACGUGGAUAACCUACCUAUAAGACUGGGAUAACUUCGGGAAACCGGAGCUAAUACCGGAUAAUAUUUUGAACCGCAUGGUUCAAAAGUGAAAGACGGUCUUGCUGUCACUUAUAGAUGGAUCCGCGCUGCAUUAGCUAGUUGGUAAGGUAACGGCUUACCAAGGCAACGAGGCAUAGCCGACCUGAGAGGGGACUCGGCCCACCGGGAACGAGGACCAGGCCCAACCCCCGCGGGGGGGAAGCGGGGGGAAACUUUCCGGAAGGGGCGAAAGCCUAAGGGGGAAAGCCGGCGUGAGUGUUGAAGAGCUUGGGAUCGUAAAACUAUUUUAUUAGGGAAGAAAAAAUGGGUAAGUAACUGGACAAAUCUGAGGGGGACCUAAUAAGAAAGCCCCGGCAAACUACGG
RNAcentral lists this ribosomal RNA (496 nucleotides) under uncultured bacterium. RNAcentral describes it as "partial 16S ribosomal RNA". It matches the Rfam family "Bacterial small subunit ribosomal RNA", at positions 28 to 506 of the family's 1533-position model. The record is from RNAcentral.